This 465-nucleotide ribosomal RNA is filed under the name uncultured bacterium. RNAcentral describes it as "partial 16S ribosomal RNA". It matches the Rfam family "Bacterial small subunit ribosomal RNA", at positions 28 to 507 of the family's 1533-position model. The record is from RNAcentral.
GACGAACGCUGGCGGCGUGCUUAACACAUGCAAGUCGAACGGAAAGGCCCCUUUGGGGGUACUCGAGUGGCGAACGGGUGAGUAACACGUGAGUAACCUGCCCUUGACUUCGGGAUAACUUCAGGAAACUGGGGCUAAUACCGGAUAGGAAUCCUUGCUGCAUGGUGGGGGUUGGAAAGCUUCGGCGGUUUUGGAUGGACUCGCGGCUUAUCAGCUUGUUGGAGGGGUAGUGGCUUACCAAGGCUUUGACGGGUAGCCGGCCUGAGAGGGCGACCGGCCACAUUGGGACUGAGAUACGGCCCAGACUCCUACGGGGGGCAGCAGUGGGGAAUAUUGCACAAUGGGCGGAAGCCUGAUGCAGCAACGCCGCGUGCGGGAUGACGGCCUUCGGGUUGUAAACCGCUUUCAGCAGGGGCGAAGCUUGUGGUGACGGUACCUGCAGAAGAAGCACCGGCUAACUACGUG